GGUUAAAUGGCUGAAAUUUAGGCGAUAGAUUGUAAAUCUAUUUAUGAGGACUUCCUCUUUAACCA
This 65-nucleotide transfer RNA is filed under the name Trichopsidea sp. RNAcentral describes it as "tRNA-Tyr". It matches the Rfam family "tRNA". Rfam says of the family: Transfer RNA (tRNA) molecules are approximately 80 nucleotides in length. Their secondary structure includes four short double-helical elements and three loops (D, anti-codon, and T loops). Further hydrogen bonds mediate the characteristic L-shaped molecular structure. tRNAs have two regions of fundamental functional importance: the anti-codon, which is responsible for specific mRNA codon recognition, and the 3' end, to which the tRNAs corresponding amino acid is attached (by aminoacyl-tRNA synthetases). tRNAs cope with the degeneracy of the genetic code in two manners: having more than one tRNA (with a specific anti-codon) for a particular amino acid; and 'wobble' base-pairing, i.e. permitting non-standard base-pairing at the 3rd anti-codon position. The record is from RNAcentral. Lineage: Eukaryota; Metazoa; Arthropoda; Insecta; Diptera; Nemestrinidae.